AGUGAAAGGGGCUUUGGUGACAUUGACCACCCCUCCCCUGCCCUGGUACCCCCGACAAGCUGGAGCCAGGAGAAAGCUGUGGGGUUAGGUAAAGAGUUGCUAGGACCAUCCCCAACCAGAGAGCUGUGGUUGAAGUUGCUGACCUUCAACUUCACCUUUCACAAUGUUAGGGAAAACUUGUCUCCAGUGUUGCAGUGGUCUGGGGAUAAACAAGAACUCAUACCAAUGCCUAUUGUGGUGCCUAACACUCAAUCGUCUUUAUUCCUGAUGCUAUGAAGAGGUACAACUUUCUUGAAGCUCCAUCCUCCCUGGAAGGCCAAGUUGGAGGCCCACUCGACUGUGGGCUUGGAGGCAGUUUUGCACACGGACCUUCAGAGUGUCCUGCCCUCUCAAUUCUGAGACCGCCCACAUUCCAGAGAACCCAGAGACUGUCAACAGUCACCAUCCUUCUAAAGUAGCUACGGGGAGGUAGAGGUUGGGAGAGAAGGAGACAAAGAGAAGAAAAUCAGGAUAUGCAGGCGUAUGUGUGCAGGAGGCAAAUCCUCAAGCAUUUGGAUCUGCAAAGAUUUAGGAGGGUCUUUCUGAUAGAAGGAUUUUUGGCCAAGAGCUGGAAGACUGGGGCUAUAGGCAAACAAGAGCCCAGUUCAAUAACUCAUUAUUAGACACCUACUAUAUGCCAGCCCCUGCUCCUCACGGGGCAGAUGAAGGAAAAGUUAUUGCGAUCGAGGUGUUGGCACCGGGAAGAUAAACGUGGAGCCCUGCCUCUCUCCACCGCUGAGCAGAAUUUCUGGCAUAGUAAAUUAUGGAACAAUGGAAGAAGCAAGAACGUGUGACACAUAAUCAACAGAAAAAGAGUCAGUAGAAACAGACCCUCAGAUGGCCUAAAUGUUAAAAUUAUCGGACAAAGGACUUUAAAAUGACUAUAAUAAAUAUACGAAAAGGUGAACAACAUGCAUUAAUACAUGGGGAAUUCCAAGAAGCAAUGGAAUCUGUAAAAAAGAACCAAGUGGACAUGAUAGAAGUAAAAAAAAUAAAAUAUGAGAAAUGAAGAGUUCA
Molecule: non-coding RNA, 1056 nt
Organism: Equus caballus (horse)
Lineage: Eukaryota; Metazoa; Chordata; Mammalia; Perissodactyla; Equidae
Source: RefSeq, a predicted model, not a curated record